AAUUGUUUAAUAUCUCACUAAUUACUGAUUAUAGAAUUUUCUUUUCUAUCCUUAUAUGGUGAGGGAAAGGGGAGCUAAGAUGGAUAGGAUAAUACCAGUCAGUGCAAACCUGAUGUUGUGAAGGGUCAGCAAGGGAAGUUAUCAAUUCAAUCUAGGAAGCAAGACCCCAUCUCCCCAAAGUGAAGACAGUCAGAUGAGACUAUUGUUGUUGUUCGGAUAUCUCAGUCUUGUCUGCUUGUGAUGGAAUUUUCUUGGUGAAGAUCACUGGAGAAUUUUGCCAUUUCCUUCUCUAGCUCAUUUUACAGAUGAGGAAAAAGAAGCAAACGUGGUUAAAUGACUAGGGUUAUAAACUAGUAAGUGUCUGAGGUUAGAUUUGUAUUCAGGAAGAUGAGUUCCUGACUCCAGGCCCUGCUCUCUAUCCAUUGCACCACCUAGCUACCCUUUAGCUGCACCCAGAUGACUGCAAGCCAUCAAGUAAAAACUAAGAAGGCAAAGGAAAAGAGAUUGGAGCUCAGUGAAGUUAAUCAAAAGGGGGAUUUUGAAAGUGUGAAUCAGGUCAUGGGGUGGAGAUGAAAGCUAGUCUACUUGAAGGCUUGAAAAAGAGGGAGAAUGUGAGGCAAAAAUGGUUCAUGUCUAGGGAACCUUAGCCUAGCUGGGGCUAUACAGAAGCCUAGUGGUAGGGAAGUCAUUGAUACCUUGGCAGCCUGGUUAUUGUGAUGCUUUCAUUCCAUUGUGACUCACCUCUUCCCCAUAACCGUAGACUUCCAGAAUAAGUUCAUAGCAGGGUGGGGGGCUGGGGGGCCCCAGGUGGCCCUGGGACCCCCCCCAUCAUGAGACAUUCAAAGCAAGUGACCAAUCCCUGUCCAAGUCCUGGCUUUGAAUGCUGCCAGGACCUGGGCGAAUAUAUCUUGAUCUCUCUGGGACUCAUCAUCUCUGUCAACAUUGGGAUCAAUGUAGCAUUUCUGCUCUGGAGUCGCUUUGGGUGCUAUCUGAAACUUAAAAAAUGUUUUCAGAAAGAUAACAAGCGCAAGGCAGUCCCAUACAUUGCCCGGA
This 1053-nucleotide long non-coding RNA is filed under the name Monodelphis domestica (gray short-tailed opossum). Its description in RNAcentral is "lncRNA (ENSMODG00000038563.1)". Lineage: Eukaryota; Metazoa; Chordata; Mammalia; Didelphimorphia; Didelphidae. The record is from RNAcentral.